GACGGGGGAUGCAAGUGUUAUCCGGAAUUAUUGGGCGUAAAGCGCGCGCAGGUGGUUUCUUAAGUCUGAUGUGAAAGCCCACGGCUCAACCGUGGAGGGUCAUUGGAAACUGGGAGACUUGAGUGCAGAAGAGGAAAGUGGAAUUCCAUGUGUAGCGGUGAAAUGCGUAGAGAUAUGGAGGAACACCAGUGGCGAAGGCGACUUUCUGGUCUGUAACUGACACUGAGGCGCGAAAGCGUGGGGAGCAAACAGG
Molecule: ribosomal RNA, 253 nt
Filed under: uncultured bacterium
Lineage: Bacteria
Description: partial 16S ribosomal RNA
Rfam family: Bacterial small subunit ribosomal RNA
Source: RNAcentral